This 1785-nucleotide ribosomal RNA is filed under the name Escherichia coli. RNAcentral's name for it is "bacterial LSU rRNA". It matches the Rfam family "Bacterial large subunit ribosomal RNA", at positions 1174 to 2925 of the family's 2925-position model. The record is from RNAcentral. Lineage: Bacteria; Pseudomonadati; Pseudomonadota; Gammaproteobacteria; Enterobacterales; Enterobacteriaceae.
AACGGGGCUAAACCAUGCACCGAAGCUGCGGCAGCGACACUAUGUGUUGUUGGGUAGGGGAGCGUUCUGUAAGCCUGUGAAGGUGUACUGUGAGGUAUGCUGGAGGUAUCAGAAGUGCGAAUGCUGACAUAAGUAACGAUAAAGCGGGUGAAAAGCCCGCUCGCCGGAAGACCAAGGGUUCCUGUCCAACGUUAAUCGGGGCAGGGUGAGUCGACCCCUAAGGCGAGGCCGAAAGGCGUAGUCGAUGGGAAACAGGUUAAUAUUCCUGUACUUGGUGUUACUGCGAAGGGGGGACGGAGAAGGCUAUGUUGGCCGGGCGACGGUUGUCCCGGUUUAAGCGUGUAGGCUGGUUUUCCAGGCAAAUCCGGAAAAUCAAGGCUGAGGCGUGAUGACGAGGCACUACGGUGCUGAAGCGACAAAUGCCCUGCUUCCAGGAAAAGCCUCUAAGCAUCAGGUAACAUCAAAUCGUACCCCAAACCGACACAGGUGGUCAGGUAGAGAAUACCAAGGCGCUUGAGAGAACUCGGGUGAAGGAACUAGGCAAAAUGGUGCCGUAACUUCGGGAGAAGGCACGCUGAUAUGUAGGUGAAGCGACUUGCUCGUGGAGCUGAAAUCAGUCGAAGAUACCAGCUGGCUGCAACUGUUUAUUAAAAACACAGCACUGUGCAAACACGAAAGUGGACGUAUACGGUGUGACGCCUGCCCGGUGCCGGAAGGUUAAUUGAUGGGGUUAGCGGUAACGCGAAGCUCUUGAUCGAAGCCCCGGUAAACGGCGGCCGUAACUAUAACGGUCCUAAGGUAGCGAAAUUCCUUGUCGGGUAAGUUCCGACCUGCACGAAUGGCGUAAUGAUGGCCAGGCUGUCUCCACCCGAGACUCAGUGAAAUUGAACUCGCUGUGAAGAUGCAGUGUACCCGCGGCAAGACGGAAAGACCCCGUGAACCUUUACUAUAGCUUGACACUGAACAUUGAGCCUUGAUGUGUAGGAUAGGUGGGAGGCUUUGAAGUGUGGACGCCAGUCUGCAUGGAGCCGACCUUGAAAUACCACCCUUUAAUGUUUGAUGUUCUAACGUGGGCCCCUUACCGGGGUUGCGGACAGUGUCUGGUGGGUAGUUUGACUGGGGCGGUCUCCUCCUAAAGAGUAACGGAGGAGCACGAAGGUUGGCUAAUCCUGGUCGGACAUCAGGAGGUUAGUGCAAUGGCAUAAGCCAGCUUGACUGCGAGCGUGACGGCGCGAGCAGGUGCGAAAGCAGGUCAUAGUGAUCCGGUGGUUCUGAAUGGAAGGGCCAUCGCUCAACGGAUAAAAGGUACUCCGGGGAUAACAGGCUGAUACCGCCCAAGAGUUCAUAUCGACGGCGGUGUUUGGCACCUCGAUGUCGGCUCAUCACAUCCUGGGGCUGAAGUAGGUCCCAAGGGUAUGGCUGUUCGCCAUUUAAAGUGGUACGCGAGCUGGGUUUAGAACGUCGUGAGACAGUUCGGUCCCUAUCUGCCGUGGGCGCUGGAGAACUGAGGGGGGCUGCUCCUAGUACGAGAGGACCGGAGUGGACGCAUCACUGGUGUUCGGGUUGUCAUGCCAAUGGCACUGCCCGGUAGCUAAAUGCGGAAGAGAUAAGUGCUGAAAGCAUCUAAGCACGAAACUUGCCCCGAGAUGAGUUCUCCCUGACUCCUUGAGAGUCCUGAAGGAACGUUGAAGACGACGACGUUGAUAGGCCGGGUGUGUAAGCGCAGCGAUGCGUUGAGCUAACCGGUACUAAUGAACCGUGAGGCUUAACCUUACAACGCCGAAG